Long non-coding RNA from Astatotilapia calliptera (eastern happy), 1102 nucleotides. Lineage: Eukaryota; Metazoa; Chordata; Actinopteri; Cichliformes; Cichlidae. The record is from Ensembl.
UCCAAAAAUUAGCCAUAAGGUUUACUGUAUAUCUUUUUAUGAGAGUAUAAACUUGGCCUAUAUGUCUAGUCAACCACUGCUCUUGAGUCCUUACUUUAAAUAGCACAGAAAUAAGUGUUUACGAGAAUGUAUACAUAUAUAUGUGUGUGUGUAUACACACACACACGCACACAUGCUGUUUGUUUGGCUAUAAUUCCUCUCAGUAUUUGUGGAGAGUCUUUGUGUACUCACACGGAGGCUGAGAUGGGUGCUGCCUCAAAGGAAGCUGCUGUCAGGGCCUCUUGCGCUUUUAAUUGUGUGUGUGUGUGUGUGUGUGUGUGUGUGUGUGUGCAGGCUUGUGCUUACUAGUGUGUGCCGAUGAAAACAGGGUCGCGGUGCUCCACCUCAAGGGCACUGUUAUUAAUGAGAUGAAUAAAAGACCAUGACAACAGCUUGAUAACACAGAGGAGAUAAAAACCACACGCAUGCACACACACGCACAGGGAAACAUCAUGUGGGAGCUGGAUAAGUUUCUCUUGCCAAAAAAAAUACAAAGAAUAAAACCAAAAAAAAAAAAGAAAGAAAAAAGAAAAACAACAUUAAUCUAUUUUUUAUGAUUUCUAUCCUCCAGAGACAGUUGAUAUAAACUCAAGGAAGGAAGGGAUGUAAAAGAAAAGGAAUGAAUAAAACAGCGUGUUUGGUAAUGUCUCCACCAGAAAACAAACAAGUGAGCAAGUAAGCAAUCCACCCUAAUUGGUCAAAGAGCUGUUGUCACUAAUGAGGUCUUAAUUAACACAGGAUUCACUUAAAACAUGUGUGGACCCAGCAACGCACACACACGCACGCACAAACAUGCUCACACGAGCAAACAUGUCUGCUCUGUGAUGUUUACAUUCAUUUAGAACAAGCAGAACACUUUGAUGUGAGAUCUCACGCAUUCACACAAUGAAAACAAACGCAUGCACGCACGCAUGCACACACACACACACACACAGACACACAUGCAUGCAGCCUGUCUGCUCACUGAGCUGGGGAGAUUGGGAUAAAUGCCAGCAGAUUUUAACCUGAGGUGAUAACAACAACUCCUAGUAGCGCUCUCUCAUUUUCACACACACAAACACAC